AUUGAACGCUGGCGGCAGGCCUAACACAUGCAAGUCGAGCGGAUGAAGGGAGCUUGCUCCUGGAUUCAGCGGCGGACGGGCGAGUAAUGCCUAGGAAUCUGCCUGGUAGUGGGGGAUAACGUCCGGACACGGGCGCUAAUACCGCAUACGUCCUGAGGGAGAAAGUGGGGGAUCUUCGGACCUCACGCUAUCAGAUGAGCCUAGGUCGGAUUAGCUAGUUGGUGGGGUAAAGGCCUACCAAGGCGACGAUCCGUAACUGGUCUGAGAGGAUGAUCAGUCACACUGGAACUGAGACACGGUCCAGACUCCUACGGGAGGCAGCAGUGGGGAAUAUUGGACAAUGGGCGAAAGCCUGAUCCAGCCAUGCCGCGUGUGUGAAGAAGGUCUUCGGAUUGUAAAGCACUUUAAGUUGGGAAGAAGGGCAGUAAGUUAAUACCUUGCUGUUUUGACGGUACCAACAGAAUAAGCACCGGCUAACUUCGUG
This 484-nucleotide ribosomal RNA is filed under the name uncultured bacterium. RNAcentral's name for it is "partial 16S ribosomal RNA". It matches the Rfam family "Bacterial small subunit ribosomal RNA", at positions 30 to 507 of the family's 1533-position model. The record is from RNAcentral.